GCUUUAGUUUAAAAAAUAAAUAUGUUUUGAGUCAAAUAUGUGUUUUCAUUGCAAGAAGCAUUAUUUCUUGUAAAAUUUUCCAGAUUUCCCUGAACUCCAAAGCUCCAAAACUUAAAUUGAAUUAGAAUUCUUCGUUCCCGUUGACUCUCAGACACUCGUAUCACAGCCAGUAGAUCCGUCUGAGCAGUGAAAGCUUUCCGCUCUUCUUAUUGUUUUUGGCAAAGCUGCUGGUGAAGACUUUCUGAGCACGCAGACAUUAAUACGAGUGCUCGUCGCAAAAGAUAAUUCAAAGAUGCCGUUUAACAUUUUACAUGGCGGGAGGAUUUAGAGCCUCAAAAGAUUAAAUCUUUCAGAUUUAUUGGAUGCUUAUUUUGAUGUUCUCCAGCAAAAUGUUUAAGGAAUUUAUAUAAAAAAACUCUAUUUAUUAACUUUUUUUCACAAUUUAAAUGUUUUAUAUACAGAUACAUACUUUUUUAAUACAUAUACUAGAUUCUAAAUGCUUUUUUUCUGUCACAGAUUCAUUUUACUUUAUUGUUGUGAUUAAAAUAGUUUCAGAAAGCUGAAUUUGGAGCUAAAUGAAAUAAAAAAUAUAAUUUAAUGUGUUGAAAAUAAACUGGAAAGCGCUUGUGGCUUUGUUGGCACCUGCCGCGCUUUUGUCAAGAGGUCAGACUGUCCGUCCUUCAACAGCACAACACGAGUGACUAAAUGAAUCGGAGCUGCGGGGGAUUGUGUGGUGUUUACGUUGGGGCAGUUCUUACUCCGAGCGGGUCCACAUCCAGACCUGGAGGUGCUUCCUUCUAAUCUCCGAGCGAGGGGCCCUUUCUGCAGUUAAAAAUAGGUUCCUCAAGGCGAAGCUGGCGGGGAAGGAUGGGGAGUAAAGUGAAAGCCGAAGGGAGUUUGGUCCCAGUGGGAGACGUUUGGCUUGUCAGCACCAUGUGUCUGGUUGUUUCCUUUGUCUGGAGCAGGCUGCGCACGUUACUCUUCCCCAGGAGGAAGCAAAGAGCCUCUGACAUUCAGGAAUAUGACGACAAAACAAAGAUGCUUUUAGGACGUUUUUGGAGAACUCUGGUGGCAGACUCUGACGCUCAGCGCUGUUAUCUUCUAUCUCCAUCUGGUGGACAGUUGUGGUCUUCUCAUGCGUGUGCAGGAACUCUCGUUACAUCACAUCCCUUUCAACAUUCCUCACACCUUUGAAGGUCGGCGAGCCCUUUUCUGCCAGACAUCCCCGCCGACUGUCCGUCUGUCUGUCUCUUGUCAUGUAAUUCUAAUUGUGUAUUUCUUUACUCAAAGAUUUGCCGCUCAAGAUGCGUUUAUUUAUACCCGACAUGAGUCUGGAUGAAUGCAGUGAUUUGUGUCCAUCGCUGAUUAUAAAUAAACACCUUUGUGGUUAAUGCUGUGUACCUCAGAGAGCUGCAGAGAGCUCCCACUCUCCUCUUUCCAUUCCUUUCUUGGCAUUCAGGAGAUCAACACUGACAUUCACGGUGGGAGCUCUGCGAGUAUGUGACUAAGCUUUCUUUGCAUUCUGUCACUGACUUUAACGCCCUCCGUAUGGUAAUCACUCUUGCAUGUCGGUAAUGUCACUCUUUACUGUCUGGGUAAAUAAUCUUCUUUCGAAGGUUUGUGGCUUGACUCAGAAGUGUACUGUAAAAAAAAACACAAGCUGACCAGAAAUUAGUUAUUUUUGACAUAAUCAAUAUAGUGGCAAUCUUACUGAAAGCUUUAAGAUGGAGGUUUGUUUGGAUCAUUCUGUUUGCUUUCUUUUAAAGCAACACUUGCAAC
This is a long non-coding RNA of Oryzias javanicus (javanese ricefish), 1779 nucleotides long. The record is from Ensembl. NCBI's taxonomy places the organism in Eukaryota, Metazoa, Chordata, Actinopteri, Beloniformes, Adrianichthyidae.